Molecule: long non-coding RNA, 523 nt
Organism: Talpa occidentalis (Iberian mole)
Lineage: Eukaryota; Metazoa; Chordata; Mammalia; Eulipotyphla; Talpidae
Exons: 3
Source: RefSeq, a predicted model, not a curated record
CUUCAGUUCCGGCUCCUCCCAGCCACACACAUUAUCUGUUAGUCUUAACAGCCAGGGCUGUUUUGCCUUCCCAACCAAAGAGCUUCAUCUUCCGGAUCAUCGGUGAGAGACAGAAGUAGCCUGUUGGUUCCAUUCAUCAUCAAACUUCUCAGCAUUACGUGGUUGAAGGUGGAGUUGGUUCACCUGGCCAGAAACCUGCUCAGCUUGACCAACAGCCUCAGCUCAAAAAUAUCCUAGUGUCUUCGAUAUGCAACUUCAGUUAAAAUGCUGCUCCAGGAGGUCUUGGGAAAUGUUCGAAGGAUCUAGAGAACUCGCUGGAUGUUGGCAGGGCGGCAUCACAGGGACGCCAGAAGCUGAGAAAGCAGCAGUAGAAGCCGAAGCCGAAGCCGAAAGAGAAGCCGAGAAGCAGCAGAAAGAACUCCAGAGAGCUCAGAUAGAGUGAAGACUUGCCUGCCAGCCUCCCAGCCCCUCAGCCAGCACCCCUGCCUGCCAUAUGCCUGGUGAACCCCAAUAAAAAACCUGC